AUCACUUCUUGUCCUCUUGGCUGAGGUGAAGUGCAGUAUCUGUUCUUGUCAGAUUAAUAUUGGAUAGUCCCCUCUCUGAGGACAGCACAGCAAAUGGGCUUUGGGCGCUAGGAGAUGGAAUGGAGCUGGCUGUGUGCGCUUCAUGCAAUCGUCCGGUAUUGCAGCACCUCUGGGAACAGUGAUCCCCUC
Molecule: small nuclear RNA, 189 nt
Organism: Meriones unguiculatus (Mongolian gerbil)
Lineage: Eukaryota; Metazoa; Chordata; Mammalia; Rodentia; Muridae
Gene: U2
Rfam family: U2 spliceosomal RNA
About the family: U2 is a small nuclear RNA (snRNA) component of the spliceosome (involved in pre-mRNA splicing). Complementary binding between U2 snRNA (in an area lying towards the 5' end but 3' to hairpin I) and the branchpoint sequence (BPS) of the intron results the bulging out of an unpaired adenosine, on the BPS, which initiates a nucleophilic attack at the intronic 5' splice site, thus starting the first of two transesterification reactions that mediate splicing.
Source: Ensembl